RNAcentral lists this ribosomal RNA (465 nucleotides) under uncultured bacterium. RNAcentral describes it as "bacterial SSU rRNA". It matches the Rfam family "Bacterial small subunit ribosomal RNA", at positions 355 to 825 of the family's 1533-position model. The record is from RNAcentral.
UCGAGAAUCUUCGGCAAUGGGCGAAAGCCUGACCGAGCAAUGCCGCGUGCGGGAUGAAGGCCCUCGGGUUGUAAACCGCUGUCGUAGGGGAGAAAGGUCUCAUGAAGAAUGAGAUUUGAUCUAUCCUAGGAGGAAGUCCGGGCUAAGUUCGUGCCAGCAGCCGCGGUAACACGAACCGGACAAACGUUAUUCGGAAUUAUUGGGCUUAAAGGGUGCGUAGGCGGUGCGGUAAGUGAGGUGUGAAAGCCCUCGGCUCAACCGAGGAAUUGCGCUUCAUACUGCCGUGCUGGAGGGAGACAGAGGUAAGCGGAACUGAUGGUGGAGCGGUGAAAUGCGUUGAUAUCAUCAGGAACACCGGUGGCGAAAGCGGCUUACUGGGUCUCUUCUGACGCUGAGGCACGAAAGCUAGGGUAGCGAACGGGAUUAGAUACCCACGUAGUCCCUGAGCGGGCUGGCAAGGCGCAU